Molecule: microRNA precursor, 72 nt
Filed under: Human betaherpesvirus 5
Lineage: Duplodnaviria; Heunggongvirae; Peploviricota; Herviviricetes; Herpesvirales; Orthoherpesviridae
Description: microRNA hcmv-mir-UL148D precursor
Gene: hcmv-mir-UL148D
Source: miRBase by way of RNAcentral
AGCAGGUGAGGUUGGGGCGGACAACGUGUUGCGGAUUGUGGCGAGAACGUCGUCCUCCCCUUCUUCACCGCC